Molecule: ribosomal RNA, 253 nt
Filed under: uncultured bacterium
Lineage: Bacteria
Description: partial 16S ribosomal RNA
Rfam family: Bacterial small subunit ribosomal RNA
Source: RNAcentral
UACGUAGGGUGCAAGCGUUGUCCGGAAUCAUUGGGCGUAAAGAGCGUGUAGGCGGCCCGGUAAGUCGGUUGUGAAAGUCAAGGGCUCAACCCUUGAAUGCCGACCGAUACUGUCGGGCUAGAGUCCGGAAGAGGCGAGUGGAAUUCCUGGUGUAGCGGUGAAAUGCGCAGAUAUCAGGAGGAACACCGAUGGCGAAGGCAGCUCGCUGGGACGGUACUGACGCUGAGACGCGAAAGCGUGGGGAGCAAACAGG